GAAAAUUCUCAGCAGAACUGCCAUCAUAAAAGUUUACUGCUCCAUAAGUUCAGUGUCUGAAGUACUUUUGAUUUUGCCUGAAAUCAACUGAAAAGACGAUGUUACGUAAUAUAAAAAAUUAGCAUCAGCUAAAUUAAUGUGGAGCAAGUCUGCAAAGAGGGAGAACACGAGCGAGAGCGAGGAAAAGAGCGCAAGAGAGA
This is a long non-coding RNA of Chiloscyllium plagiosum (whitespotted bambooshark), 200 nucleotides long. RefSeq lists it as uncharacterized. NCBI's taxonomy places the organism in Eukaryota, Metazoa, Chordata, Chondrichthyes, Orectolobiformes, Hemiscylliidae. The record is from RefSeq and is a predicted model, not a curated record.